This is a long non-coding RNA of Diachasma alloeum, 396 nucleotides long. RefSeq lists it as uncharacterized. The record is from RefSeq and is a predicted model, not a curated record. Lineage: Eukaryota; Metazoa; Arthropoda; Insecta; Hymenoptera; Braconidae. The transcript has 3 exons.
CCAGGCAGUCAGAGUAGAUCAGCCAAUUGGAGGAAUCCCUAUCGCUACUGUUCCACCUGCAAAUGACAACUUCGAAAUCUUGUUGUUGCGAAGAUUAGAUCAAUGCAUAUGUAAUUUAUGCAAUAAUUCCAUCACUGAGUAUGUUGCGUCGGCAUGUAGACAUUGGUUUGGAUGCAAACAAUGUACGAAACUCUAUGUUCAAGCCUCUUUGGAAAUGAAUGCCUUCUUGAAGUGUCGAUGGUGCCUCCAGGAGUGUCACGGAUUCGAACGUGUUUAUAUCACAUAGGAAUGCCUUGGGAAAAAGGACUGCUUAGGAGGCAUCUUCUGGCUCCAACAACAUCUUACCAUCACAAAUACUCCACUGUUCUCUCAUGUUAUCAGGAUAAACGGGAGGUU